Long non-coding RNA from Homo sapiens (human), 1977 nucleotides. Ensembl annotates it as long intergenic non-protein coding RNA 1370. The record is from Ensembl. Lineage: Eukaryota; Metazoa; Chordata; Mammalia; Primates; Hominidae.
UUCUGUUCCUGCGUUAGUUUGCUAAGGAUAAUGGCCAUUAUCUUAGCCAUUUGAAAAUAAUGAUUUAACCUCUCUCACCUUCAUUGUCAUUUUAGAAGAAACUACCAUUUGGUGUCCUGCUGAGACAAGAAAAUAUUUUCACAACUCAAGACAAGUUAAAUAUCCACUUAUGGGAACAGUGCUGAAGGCCUGGACUAGGAUGGUAGCAAUGGAGACAGACUAAAGAAAGAGAUGCAAUCAUUCCCUUGCAUAUGGUCCGUAUGAAGACGGGAUCAUUACAGGAAAGGUGAAGGAGAUACAGUCAUUAUGCUCUAUAUACACCCAUUUUUAUGGCUAGCGGCUGAAGAUGGGAUGCUUUCUUUGCUGGAAGACCUAUUACCUGUUAGGUUGCAAAAGAUGUGAUCAUCUUCCUAAACAAUAAUUUAGAGUCCCAUAACAAUUUUAAGUGUGCUGUUCAUGAAAAUUUGAAUACAUUGUAUUGGGAAUAUAAUGGAAGUGAGAUGCCUCAUGUCGUGAGAAAAUCUGACAUAAACUCCUUAAGCAUGAGAGGCCAUGUGGGUAUGGAAGCCCUGAAAGGGAGGAAAAAACAGCCAGACCCUAGCUGUUCCAGUCAUCCCAACUGAGGUGCCAGACUUGUGAUUGAGGCCAUCUUGCAUCAUCUAGGCCUAGUAGAGCUGCCAACUGACUGCAGACACAUGAGUCAAUCCAGCUAAUGCCACAUGGAGCAGAGACAAGCCGCCCAGCUGAGCCCAGUCCAGAUGACAGAAUCAUGAGCAAAUAAGGUUCCAUAUGGAGAGGACUGAUGAAGCCAGCAUUAGGCGUGAUGGGGACGUGCAUAAAUGUGUAUGUUAUCCACUGAGACACAGAUUCUGAAGCACCAGAACAUUAAAGGCACUUCUACUUGUUUCUUCUACCCAGCUGAAAGGACAGAAAGCUUCUUCCACAGAGCCAGGACAGUCCAGGGGAACGUAGUCCUUCGACUGAAAGCUAUGCUUCCUAUUUUCUAACAAAGAGGCUAGGUCAUGUUGACCACCCAGUUUUGGCCUGCCUGGCUUGCUUUUUAUUCCAGCCUGGAGGACUUUCAGGGUUGAAUAUCCACUCAAGCCAAAUCCCAAGAAGCAUAACCUGCUAUUAGACUCUUGUCACUUAUCGGGUGAGGGGCUGUGCGGCUGUUCCAGUGCUUCCCCACUUGGGUCUUGUGACAUACCCUGGGGCCAAGCCAAGCCCUGGAGGUUAGCUUCUACAGUCUGUCCUUAAAGAGAGCUCAGGGAUGUCUGGACAGGACCUGGAGACAGUGCCCUGGGCCAGAGACCUCUGAUCUCUAGGCCAGCAGAGUCACCAUGCAGACAGAUUUAUGAGCCUUAGGCAAAACAGCUGGCAUUCCUGUGGCCAUCUUUCUACCCCUUCCUUUCCACAUGACCAUAUCCUUGGCCAGAUCUUCAUGUCCUUAGAUGGCUGUUGCCUUUGGGUAAAUUGGCAAUUAAGAUAAAUGAGCAUAUUUAUCAUGGCCUUGUGGUUACCCCUCCUGAAGCUCUCAGGGUGGCAAGCUGCCUGACCCUCCUACUAUGAACUUAGUAACUUUAAAACAGAGAGUAUCUUUUCUUGCCCAGCUGAAAUUUCCUCCCCAGGCGACCUACUUUUAGGAUUAAUAUGCGGGAAAGUCUGCAGUUUUGUUUUCAGUGAGGGUAGUUGUGUUUUCAAGGAAAGAGGUAGCGCCUUACAGUCAGAUUAGCCAGCUUUAUUUCUUUCAUCAACCCUUUACUGGCUUUCUAAAUUUUUUCAAGUAACUUCACCUCUCUGAGUUUCAUUUACCUCAUUACCUUCAUCAGGUAAGAUGACAUAUGAAAAGCCCUUCUCAAGCAACUGCAAAGUUCCAAUUAAUAGAAGAAAUUGUAAUGACUAUCUGUGUUUGAAGCGGGGCCAUUUUUCUUAUUUGGAAUUUUCACGUAUUAAAAAUAUGGAUCCUUUACACCUGUA